RNAcentral lists this long non-coding RNA (1317 nucleotides) under Hordeum vulgare. RNAcentral's name for it is "long non-coding RNA (HVUL_LNC018025)". Lineage: Eukaryota; Viridiplantae; Streptophyta; Magnoliopsida; Poales; Poaceae. The record is from RNAcentral.
AGGAAAUAGACAGAGAUCAGUUAGUGCUUCAGUUUCUUUCCCAAGUAAGCUUCAAAAUAGCAUACUGAUUUCAGGGCCGAGCUAGUUCUAGUAAAGGACUCCGUUCCGUAGCUGUAGAAGGAAGACAUUUUCAGGCUCAUGUACAACAUGAGAUUAUGUGCCAACUAUCCGACCCCUACUGAAUAUCAACCAUAUUGGGAACUAACAGAUUGGAUCUGUAUGCAUAGUUGAGUGCUAUAAUAUUAGUAAGAGCAAAGUGCUACCUAAAGUUUUUAAAAACUGCCAAGAACACCUUGCACGAAAUUGUUUCUGUAUGUAUUAGGUUGGAAUACAAAACUUUGUACGCACGUGCUGUAAUCUUAUGCUAUUUCCACGUUGACAUCAUCUUAUUAAGAAUGGAUUAAACCUCAGUUGAUCCAAUACUGAUUUGACUUUUGAUCUAUGUGUUAGGGCGUACUAACAGAAUGACUUUUCAAGACAUCUCUAGGUUUUAACCAGUAAAAACAUUUGCGCCCCUGUUUCUUCUUGCUGUAGUCAAAUAAAUUGAAAUAAUUUGCUAGUUUGAUCGUGUUUUUCUCAAUUGUUCAAGGGUCUUUUAGUUCCAGCGAACAUUCCCUCCAUGAGGUUCGGCUGGUUUAGGAGAUCAUUGAAAUACAUUGUAGUCAGAUAAAUUGAAAUAAUUUGCUAGUUUGAUCGUGUUUUUCUCAAUUGUUUAAGGGUCUUUUAGUUCCAGCGAACAUUCAGUUUUGUAUCUGCGUCCGUAUCGUAUUCAUUUCUGGGCCUUUUGUAUUCGUUUCCACUUCUGGAAAACAUUAUGAAAACAAAUGCUGCAGCACUCAGUUCCUUCUGUUUUCAUCCCUACCUGUAAGCUGAUGUAACCUUUCUUUUUAGUAGCUAACUCCGCCACAAUGCUAAAAUUUCUGCAGUUUCUACAUUUAUUACUUUGUGAUGCAAAAGAGUUGACAGAAAAGUUCUGUUCUCACCCAGUCUUGUGAAAACUCUCUUCUGGCAUUUUAAUGGAACUUUGAGUACAUUCAACAACAGCAACAACAACAAAGUCUUUUAGUCCCAAACAAGUUGGGUUAGGCUAGAGUUGAAACCCAUAAGAUCUCGAAACCAACUCUUGGUUCUGGCACGUGGAUAGCUAGCUUCAACGCACUCCUGUCCUGGCUAGUUCUUUGGUGAUAUUCUGGUCCUUCAGAUAGACUAUUUCUGUUGAAAGAGCAGUAUAAUUUUGCUGUUGUGGUUAUAACGAAAAUGCUAUGUUAGAUGCUUUCAGGUUGCUAGUAUGUCCUCGGGACACCUUGGAAGCGCUAA